UCCCUCUCAGGGUUGCACCUGGAGAGUUUCCAGUACUCUACCAGUCUCGGCUACGGGAGGGAGAGUCAAGCAGAGGCCUGUCCGUUCCAUUCCUAGCUUGGGCUGUGGCGAGCGAGUGGCAGGCCAUCUGCUACAAGU
This 138-nucleotide small nucleolar RNA is filed under the name Ornithorhynchus anatinus (platypus). The record is from RNAcentral. Lineage: Eukaryota; Metazoa; Chordata; Mammalia; Monotremata; Ornithorhynchidae.